Molecule: ribosomal RNA, 464 nt
Filed under: uncultured bacterium
Lineage: Bacteria
Description: partial 16S ribosomal RNA
Rfam family: Bacterial small subunit ribosomal RNA
Source: RNAcentral
GACGAACGCUGGCGGCGUGCUUAACACAUGCAAGUCGAACGGAAAGGCCCCUUUGGGGGUCCUCGAGUGGCGCACGGGUGAGUAACACGUGAGUAACCUGCCCUUGACUUCGGGAUAACUUCAGGAAACUGGGGCUAAUACCGGCUAGGAAUCCUUGCUGCAUGGUGGGGGUUGGAAAGCUUCGGCGGUUUUGGAUGGACUCGCGGCUUAUCAGCUUGUUGGUGGGGUAGUGGCUUACCAAGGCUUUGACGGGUAGCCGGCCUGAGAGGGCGACCGGCCACAUUGGGACUGAGAUACGGCCCAGACUCCUACGGGAGGCAGCAGUGGGGAAUAUUGCACAAUGGGCGGAAGCCUGAUGCAGCAACGCCGCGUGCGGGAUGACGGCCUUCGGGUUGUAAACCGCUUUCAGCAGGGGCGAAGCUUGUGGUGACGGUACCUGCAGAAGAAGCACCGGCUAACUACGU